UUGCUCGACCCAGCACAGGCAGUGUGAUCCUCUGGUCUUCUGGUACCAGUGAUGUGGGAAAGGAUGCUAGGCUUAGCAGACACAGCUCAGAGGAAAAGCCUCUAUCAACACGUGUUACAGUUUGAAAUCAACUUUGGAGAUUGGACUUCCCUGGCUGCUUCACCCUGCUGAGACCCGUCACAAUCUGAUCCUCCUGAGAUGAGGCAUGAC
Molecule: long non-coding RNA, 210 nt
Organism: Oncorhynchus masou masou (cherry salmon)
Lineage: Eukaryota; Metazoa; Chordata; Actinopteri; Salmoniformes; Salmonidae
Exons: 3
Source: RefSeq, a predicted model, not a curated record